UUUACAAUGGAGAGUUUGAUCCUGGCUCAGGAUGAACGCUAGCGGCAGGCCUAAUACAUGCAAGUCGAACGGGCGCAGCAAUGCGUCAGUGGCGCACGGGUGCGUAACGCGUAGGCAAUCUGCCUACACCUGGGGGAUAGCCCGCCGAAAGGUGGAUUAAUACCGCAUGACACCGCGGGCCGGCAUCGGCUGGCGGUUAAAGAAUUUCGGGUGUAGAUGAGCCUGCGUGCCAUUAGCUAGUUGGCGGGGUAAGGGCCCACCAAGGCGACGAUGGCUAGGGGAGCUGAGAGGCCGAUCCCCCACACUGGCACUGAGAUACGGGCCAGACUCCUACGGGAGGCAGCAGUAGGGAAUAUUGGGCAAUGGGAGCAAUCCUGACCCAGCCAUGCCGCGUGCCGGAUGAAGGCCUUCUGGGUUGUAAACGGCUUUUGACCGGGAAGAAAAAGCCCCUGCGGGGGAAACCGACGGUACCGGUUGAAUAAGCACCGGCUAACUCCGUGCCAGCAGCCGCGGUAAUACGGAGGGUGCGAGCGUUGUCCGGAUUUAUUGGGUUUAAAGGGUGCGUAGGCGGCCCCGCAAGUCCGUGGUGAAAGCCUCUUGCUCAACAAGAGAACUGCCAUGGAUACUACGGGGCUUGAGUCCAGACGAGGUUGGCGGAAUGGACGGUGUAGCGGUGAAAUGCAUAGAUACCGUCCAGAACCCCGAUUGCGUAGGC
RNAcentral lists this ribosomal RNA (715 nucleotides) under Solirubrum puertoriconensis. RNAcentral's name for it is "bacterial SSU rRNA". It matches the Rfam family "Bacterial small subunit ribosomal RNA", at positions 1 to 722 of the family's 1533-position model. The record is from RNAcentral. Lineage: Bacteria; Pseudomonadati; Bacteroidota; Cytophagia; Cytophagales.